AAUAGGCCGUUCCAAGAUGCUGUCAAAAUUAAAUCAAUAUGGCUACUGGAAGGCAAACAUUGAAUAUUAUUCUAUCAGGUUCUUAUGGUUUUAGAUCAUUUUAGUUGUUGUACAAAGAUUAAUUUAACAUUUUCUCUGGAAGUAUUAAUUUAGAAAGAUAAUAUGCCUCAUUGGUGUUGUGUUUUGAAGUGUGAAAUGCAAAGUAAUCGUGAUAAAGUUAGCUUUUACCACUUACCAUCAGUGCUACAUUCUAAGCACAAAACUGAACCAAUUUAACUAAAUAAGUUAUAGUUAUCAUCUGAGAGACAACAACAAUGGUAAAAUGCAAUAAAAUAUAAAGAUUUUACUAGCAAAAUGGAAAUUCCCCUGUAAUCAUCUUAUAUCUGGUAAGUUACAACAUUUGAACAUUAACGAUUUUUGAAGAUGUUAACAGUCUAAUCUUGUAGGAAAACCAGCCGACUUAACUGAUAAUAACAAUCCAGAUUGGGUUCCUUCAAUAAAUAUGGGGUAUAUAAACACAAUGAAAUGAGUUCCCCAAAAUCUAAAAUGGGAAUUAAGGUACCAAAGGAGAAUUAAAAGAAAAGGGUACCUACAAGAAAAAAUUGCUUUUUUAUUCCUCUUGAAAUGAUUUAUAAGACACUGGACUGUCUUAUAUUCUACAAAUACUAGAAUCAGCUGAGAGAAGUGGUCUACAAAAACCCAGGAAGGAAACGGAAUAUGUGGCUACGAAAGGCAAAAGAAAGGUUUACAAAGCAAAUGUGACACAUUUUUUUGAAAUAUUUAGGAAUAUCAGUAAAUUGCAUUAAAAAAAUGUAUGAAAAGAUUUUGUUCAAUAAAAAUGUUUAUAUUUA
Long non-coding RNA from Diabrotica virgifera virgifera (western corn rootworm), 851 nucleotides. RefSeq lists it as uncharacterized. The transcript has 2 exons. The record is from RefSeq and is a predicted model, not a curated record. NCBI's taxonomy places the organism in Eukaryota, Metazoa, Arthropoda, Insecta, Coleoptera, Chrysomelidae.